This 253-nucleotide ribosomal RNA is filed under the name uncultured bacterium. Its description in RNAcentral is "partial 16S ribosomal RNA". It matches the Rfam family "Bacterial small subunit ribosomal RNA", at positions 524 to 776 of the family's 1533-position model. The record is from RNAcentral.
UACGAAGGGGGCUAGCGUUGCUCGGAAUGACUGGGCGUAAAGGGCGCGUAGGCGGCUAGUACAGUCAGAUGUGAAAUUCCUGGGCUCAACCUGGGGACUGCAUUUGAUACGUGCUGGCUUGAGUGGAGGAGAGGGUCGUGGAAUUUCCAGUGUAGAGGUGAAAUUCGUAGAUAUUGGAAAGAACACCGGUGGCGAAGGCGGCGACCUGGCCUUUAACUGACGCUGAGGCGCGAAAGCGUGGGGAGCAAACAGG